UGAAGGACCCAACCCAACUCCCGUCUCUGUGUGUGUCUCAAAACACAUGAAAGUUGCUGAUUCCAAGCUCCAUCGUCAAUAACAUGAGAUCCCCCUCUUCUUCUUCUUCUUCAAUUUCCUCGUCACAAUUGUGGGGCUGUUUCUUUGUCACAAUCGGUUCAGUCUUCUUCGUGGGAUUUCUCUUCGCCGCCGUUAUAUCCAAGCUCCUCCCUCCAUCGCAUAACGCUCUAAUUUCCUCCAUCCAAAACGACUGGUAUUACUGCUUCUUAGUGCCCUUGACUCUUCCUGUCCUUGUGGUUGCUGUUUAUUUCCAUUGGAUCAGCAUGAAAUUAUUCAAGCACGCAUGACUUUGUCUUGAGCUCAUCACGUUGAAUUCCAGAACCUCUGGUCCUCCCUGCUUAAUUAUACUACUUUUAGAGAAGAACAAGGAACUAAAAGGUGUGUCUGAUUAAUUGCCUUGACAAAGUACAUAGCAGCCGAGGCUGCCUUGGCAGUUGAAGGUCGUGGAGACCUGCAAGUUAUACAACCUUCCAAUUUGUCUCUACCCUUUUGGCAUAUGACCUGGCAUUUUGCCAAACAUAUGUAUUGAUAGAACAUUGCCUUUUAUUGAAAAUGACCUGCUCAUUUUUUACACUCACAAUAGUCUUGUAAUUUCCUUCCUACCCUACCUCAGAAAAGCAAAAUCUGCUUUCAAAUUGUCAUUCCAUUAUUGCCCCUGAGCAUUGUCCAAUGAUGUAGGAGUAACUGGAUCAUCAACUUUUAGAUGGAAUUCCACAACUUGGGUCUUAGCGAUAAUUACUGCAUAAGAAUAAUGGCUAGGAGGAGGAUUGAAAGCCAUUAUGGCGCUAUUUAGAGAAUUAGAGUUCUGUUGUUUCUGUCUCUGUAUUAUGUAUAGUUGUAAUUUAUUGGCUUUUCACAUGGAGAUUGUGCAUUAGGACAAACCUUAUCAAAUCCAUGUUCAAAUUAGAUUGAAAUUAAACCAUAUUCCUUUUCACUGCCAAUUUGAACUCAUCCCCUUUCCCUUCCCUUUUCUCUCAAGCAUCAAACCGCAUUGAUUUAAUUUGAUUAGAAAUUUAGAAUGGAGAAUAAACUGAUCAAAGUAUACUCAUACAUAUAACACUAUGGUUUGAAGGAAGUUUAGUCAUUUUCUUUCUAUCAAGUUCAGAGCUUCACUUCACUUGCGGCACCUACUUCAGAAAUAUAUUGUUGCAACAGCAUAAACAAUGUCGCCAAUUUACAAGUGAUUGCCAGCUUCCAUAUUAAUAGAAGAGGAUUGGAGCAAUUCUUUCUUUAUGGAGUAUAUUAUUAGGUUAAUGUGUUUAAUCUACUGCCUUAUAUCAGUGGAAAUCAGGUUGUGGAAGAGAGCUAGUCGGUUGCAAAACUAUACUCUCUCCAUGUACAUAGGCUGUGACCUUUAUAGCACCUUUUUUUUAUAUUACUCAUCAAAUAGAAGAAACUGCAGAUUCUCCAAUAUAAUCAUUUGAUUCAUUGUUUCGUAUCAA
Molecule: long non-coding RNA, 1502 nt
Organism: Quercus robur (English oak)
Lineage: Eukaryota; Viridiplantae; Streptophyta; Magnoliopsida; Fagales; Fagaceae
Exons: 2
Source: RefSeq, a predicted model, not a curated record